This 776-nucleotide ribosomal RNA is filed under the name Leucothoe vulgaris. RNAcentral describes it as "partial 18S ribosomal RNA". It matches the Rfam family "Eukaryotic small subunit ribosomal RNA", at positions 1329 to 1787 of the family's 1831-position model. The record is from RNAcentral. Lineage: Eukaryota; Metazoa; Arthropoda; Malacostraca; Amphipoda; Leucothoidae.
UAACGAACAGACUCUAUCCUACUAAGCGGCGAGAGGCUAUUAGACGGCUGGAUCUUGACUCGAAGCGAGUGUUUACGGAUUUGAGUGUGUUUCGCGAGUGUGGGUACAGCUUGCGGAGCGGAUGUGUGUGUACGCGCGCUCUCACGGGUGUGCUACGUGCGUGUCUCGCCCUGCUUCUUCCUUACUCGCGUGUGCGCAUCUUUUCCAGCUCGCAAGUCCGCCGUGGCUGCGCGUGAGUUCGGGUUACGCUUGCGUGUGUGUUGUGUGCGAAAGCGCGCUCAUACUCUCUCGCUACUCGCUCUUGCGCGUAGACAAACGUUGUUUCUUCUUAGAGGUAUUGGCGACUCUACGCAAGUCGUACGAGAGAGAGAGCAAUAACAGGUCUGUGAUGCCCUUAGAUGCCCUGGGCCGCACGCGAGCUACAAUGCCGGGUACAGCGGGUAUAACUUCCUUCUCCGAGAGGAGCGGGUAACCCUCUUGAAAGCCCUUCCGAUGCGUGUAUAUAUACUUAUACACGCAUCUCGGCUCGCUUGGGCCUGGGGCUUGCAACUAUCUCCCACAAACGAGGAAUGCCUUGUAUUGACAGGUCACUGAGCUUGUAGCGACUCAGUCCCUGCCCUUUGUACACACCGCCCGUCGCUACUACCGAUUGAGUGUAUCAGUGAGAUUCUUGGACUGGCGAACCAUUUCCCUUAUCUCUCCCUUCGCGGGUUUGUGUUGGGGAGACGGCGAACGACGGGAAGAGACUCGAACUGAUGCACUUAGAGGAAGUAAAA